GGCAUGCUUUAACAUGCAGUCGAACGGUAACAGGGAGCUUGCUCCGCUGACGAGUGGCGAACGGGUGAGUAAUAUAUCGGAACGUACCCAAGAGUGGGGGAUAACGUAGCGAAAGUUACGCUAAUACCGCAUACGAUCUAAGGAUGAAAGCAGGGGACCUUCGGGCCUUGUGCUCCUGGAGCGGCCGAUAUCUGAUUAGCUAGUUGGUGAGGUAAAGGCUCACCAAGGCGACGAUCAGUAGCUGGUCUGAGAGGACGACCAGCCACACUGGAACUGAGACACGGUCCAGACUCCUACGGGAGGCAGCAGUGGGGAAUUUUGGACAAUGGGCGCAAGCCUGAUCCAGCAAUGCCGCGUGAGUGAAGAAGGCCUUCGGGUUGUAAAGCUCUUUUGUCAGGGAAGAAACGGGAUUGGCUAAUAUCCAGUCCUAAUGACGGUACCUGAAGAAUAAGCACCGGCUAACUACGUGCCAGCAGCCGCGGUAAUACGUAGGGUGCAAGCGUUAAUCGGAAUUACUGGGCGUAAAGCGUGCGCAGGCGGUUUUGUAAGUCUGUCGUGAAAUCCCCGGGCUCAACCUGGGAAUUGCGAUGGAGACUGCAAGGCUAGAAUCUGGCAGAGGGGGGUAGAAUUCCACGUGUAGCAGUGAAAUGCGUAGAGAUGUGGAGGAACACCGAUGGCGAAGGCAGCCCCCUGGGUCAAGAUUGACGCUCAUGCACGAAAGCGUGGGGAGCAAACAGGAUUAGAUACCCUGGUAGUCCACGCCCUAAACGAUGUCUACUAGUUGUCGGGUUUUAAUUAACUUGGUAACGCAGCUAACGCGUGAAGUAGACCGCCUGGGGAGUACGGUCGCAAGAUUAAAACUCAAAGGAAUUGACGGGGACCCGCACAAGCGGUGGAUGAUGUGGAUUAAUUCGAUGCAACGCGAAAAACCUUACCUACCCUUGACAUGUCAGGAAGACCGGAGAGAUCUGGUUGUGCCCGAAAGGGAACCUGACACAGGUGCUGCAUGGGCUGUCGUCAGCUCGUGUCGUGAGAUG
Molecule: ribosomal RNA, 1037 nt
Filed under: Massilia timonae
Lineage: Bacteria; Pseudomonadati; Pseudomonadota; Betaproteobacteria; Burkholderiales; Oxalobacteraceae
Description: bacterial SSU rRNA
Rfam family: Bacterial small subunit ribosomal RNA
Source: RNAcentral